This is an RNA transcript of Papaver somniferum (opium poppy), 1149 nucleotides long. It is a transcript of the gene named PHD finger-like domain-containing protein 5B, with no coding region annotated. The record is from RefSeq and is a predicted model, not a curated record. Lineage: Eukaryota; Viridiplantae; Streptophyta; Magnoliopsida; Ranunculales; Papaveraceae. The transcript is spliced from 3 exons.
AAAAAAACCAUGGUCCCAAAAAAAUAAUCGUUCAAUAAAAAGCACACGCUGCAACGUUUCAAGAUCUACCGGUAACAAACCAGAAGGCAGCUAACCAUUCUCUCGUUCAAGCAUCAAGAGUCUUCUCUCUCCCACAGUUCUCUCCACUUCCGAGGUUGGGUUUAGGGUGUUUGUUGUAACCAGACUCGAGUUUGAUUUCAGUUGAUAUAUACUAGCUAGUGACAAAGGAAGCAUGGCCAAGCAUCAUCCUGAUUUGAUUAUGUGCAGGAAGCAGCCUGGGAUUGCAAUUGGUCGGUUGUGUGAGAAGUGCGAUGGGAAGUGUGUGAUAUGUGAUUCCUAUGUGCGUCCUUGCACACUUGUUAGGGCUUGCGAUGAAUGCAACUAUGGGUCGUUCCAGGGUCGGUGUGUGAUCUGUGGAGGUGUGGGUAUCUCUGAUGCCUAUUAUUGCAAAGAGUGUACUCAGCAGGAGAAGGACCGUGAUGGCUGUCCAAAGAUUGUUAACUUGGGCAGUGCUAAAACUGAUCUCUUCUAUGAGCGCAAGAAAUAUGGAUUUAAGCAGAGAUAGAGAGUUUGUUGUUGGGGAAUUCUUCUGCCUGUUAACUAUGUUUUGUAUUACUUAUAUUAUGGUGUUCAAACUUCUAUCUAAUACUGAAUCACUCUACUGGUAAACAUUUUAAUGGGUUUUCAGUAUUUUGAGAAUUGUUGGUUCAUUACUGCUGUUAUAUUUUCGUUCAUCUUUGUCCCAGCAUAUGCAUAGCUGUUCCUUGAUUUUAAUGCUUUUGAUGCAGAGUUACUUUAUAUCGGUGCAUAUUGGUUCCUAGAUUUCAUCGCUUCGGGAUUGCUCAACGUAAAUGUGGUAAUAAAAAUCGACGAGGGUUUUGAUUCUUUCGUGUCUAUUCAUUUAGUAAAAUUGAUCUCUCUUCUAUGAGCACAAGAACUAAGGAUUUAAGCAGAGAUAGAGAGUUUAUUGCUGGGGAAUUGUUCUGUCUGUUAACUAUGUUUUUUAUAACUUAUGGUGUUCAAACUUCUAUCUAGUACUGAAUCACUCUACUGGUAAACAUUUUACUGGGUCUUCAUUAUUCUGAGAAAUUAUGUUUAGAUUCUUGCAGAAGUGUUACAGUACCAAAAAAAAAAAGUUUAAUUGUUUUA